This 70-nucleotide transfer RNA is filed under the name uncultured Campylobacter sp. It matches the Rfam family "tRNA". From Rfam's summary of the family: Transfer RNA (tRNA) molecules are approximately 80 nucleotides in length. The record is from RNAcentral. Lineage: Bacteria; Pseudomonadati; Campylobacterota; Epsilonproteobacteria; Campylobacterales; Campylobacteraceae.
AUCGGUAGCUCAGUUGGUUAGAGCAUCCGGCUCAUAACCGGAUGGUCCCAGGUUCGAGUCCUGGCCGAUC